Molecule: ribosomal RNA, 253 nt
Filed under: uncultured bacterium
Lineage: Bacteria
Description: partial 16S ribosomal RNA
Rfam family: Bacterial small subunit ribosomal RNA
Source: RNAcentral
GACGAGCCACACGAACGUUAUUCGGAAUUACUGGGCUUAAAGGGUGCGUAGGCGGUGCGGAAAGUUGGGUGUGAAAUCCCUCGGCUCAACCGAGGAACUGCGCCCAAAACUACCGUACUUGAGGAAGAUAGAGGUGAGCGGAACUUACAGUGGAGCGGUGAAAUGCGUUGAUAUUGGGAAGAACACCGGUGGCGAAGGCGGCGACCUGGUCCGUGACUGACGCUGAGGCGCGAAAGCGUGGGGAGCAAACAGG